CCUACGGGGGGCACCAGUCGAGAAUAGUCUACAAUGGUCGGAAGACUGAUAGUGCGACGCCGCGUGAACGAGGAAGCCCUUCGGGGUGUAAAGUUCUUUUAUAUGUGAGCAGUGGGUUCUACGUUAAUAGCGUGGGAUCAGGGAUAUUAGCAUAUGAAUAAGCAACGGCUAACUCCGUGCCAGCAGCCGCGGUAACACGGGGGUUGCGAGCGUUGUCCGGAAUUACUAGGCGUAAAGGGCAGGUAGGCGGAUCUAUAAGUUUUUUGUCAAAUUCAACGGCUCACCCGUUGCGAGGCAGGAGAUACUGUAGAUCUGGAAUGCGGUUGGGGAAGACAGAAUUCCUGGUGUAGCGGUGGAAUGCGCAGAGAUCAGGAGGAAUACCUAAGGCGAAGGCAGUCUUCUAAGCCGUAAUUGACGCUAAACUGCGAAGGUGUGGGUAU
This 440-nucleotide ribosomal RNA is filed under the name uncultured bacterium. Its description in RNAcentral is "bacterial SSU rRNA". It matches the Rfam family "Bacterial small subunit ribosomal RNA", at positions 338 to 768 of the family's 1533-position model. The record is from RNAcentral.